GAUCUAAUGUGAACGAAAUUUAAUUUUAAAUUCCUAUGUAAAUAUAACCUAGAUUUCAAGCCUUGGUUGUUUCUUAGGCUGUAUGCUGCUUGCAAAAAAUGAUUCCAGAUUUGUGGGAAGAAUGAUGAUAUAACCCUGUGCAACUACCUGAGCAGUGGAAUUGGUACAAGAGCUUUGAAGAGAAGUAAAAGUUUUCCCUGUUUCCUAAAUAGAUGAAACACAUAGUUUCACUUUGGAAAUGGCAGACACGAGAUAUCAUGUAAUAAUGCACUGGCCAAUGAGAAGCCAGUCCUGAAUAUAUGCACAUUUUGUGAAUCUCCACUUGGAAGUGUCUGAAGAUGCAAAAUGGAAAGAGGACUAGAUCCCCACUUCAGGGCAUUUAAAGCACCUCUGAUGUCUCCGUUCCAUCUUUCUUCUUCUCGGGUCAUGAUUUAGAAGUCAAAGGCAAACACAACAGUCCUGAAGUGCCUCACAAUAAUUGCUAGAGGAGGUGCAGAAACAGCCCUAGACCAUACAUGACAUCUCUUGGAAUUUCUGGCUCCUGCCUAGCUCUCGAAGGAAGAACCCAGCUACCCAGCUCUGCCUAUACCUCCAAGCAAACAGACUUGAGAUUUCACCCAUUUGAGGAGCUCCAAGUGAGAAACUACUUCUGCCAAUUCAGAUUGGCAUUCUGCUACGAGAUGAAGAGUCUUUGAUGCCAGCAGGGUAGGGGGUGGGGUCUUAAGCCAAGAAAGCACAGCCAGAGACAAGGAUUGAAUCCCAGUCUUCCUGAAUGCAAGGGCAGCUUCAUAUUUGCUAUGAUGACUCUCUGUAUGAACAGACCUAUGGUUCCUCCAUUUAACUUGUCUUGAGAAUUCCGCAGCUAGUCAUGCUUUUUGACAUUUCUUCUAACCAUAUGUGGAUAUGUAUAUAUGUACCAGUUUUUCUUGUACAAUGUUGAAACAAAGAACAUUUUAACUAGGUCAUUUUUGAAGUGUCAAAUAAGUGAAGACUCUAUAAAAACAUAGUGAACUAAGGAGGCCCAAAGUCCUACAAGCCAAAAGAAACCCAGAAAAUCCCAGAAACCCCAGGUGCUUCAAAGGGGCAAGAAAGAAUCAGCCACCUAGAGAGAUGAACUAAAAUGCAAUGCUUUCACAUUGCAGUCACAUCAAUAAUUCAAAAUCACCCCAGGCCUGUCUGAAUCACUGAGGAAAUAAAUGAUGCCGCCCCAGCCCUAACA
RNAcentral lists this long non-coding RNA (1219 nucleotides) under Monodelphis domestica (gray short-tailed opossum). RNAcentral describes it as "lncRNA (ENSMODG00000039496.1)". Lineage: Eukaryota; Metazoa; Chordata; Mammalia; Didelphimorphia; Didelphidae. The record is from RNAcentral.